RNAcentral lists this long non-coding RNA (230 nucleotides) under Phoenix dactylifera (date palm). Its description in RNAcentral is "long non-coding RNA (PDAC_LNC020079)". Lineage: Eukaryota; Viridiplantae; Streptophyta; Magnoliopsida; Arecales; Arecaceae. The record is from RNAcentral.
UGAGAGGAAUUACGAGGGGUUGAUGAGUAAUCAAAUUGAUUCCGAAUUGUGAAAUGAUUUCUUUUGUAAAUUGAUUUCAUUUUCUCUAUUUCAAAGACUUGUGAGUGGUAGCUUUGAUUAUACUCCUUUAUGAGUAAUUAAAUUAGAUCUGAAUUGUGAAAUGACUUCUUUUGUAAAUUGAUUUCAUUUCCUCUAUUUCAAAGACUUGUAGAGCCCUUCUCAUGAUAUAU